RNAcentral lists this ribosomal RNA (502 nucleotides) under Chaetodon litus (Easter Island butterflyfish). RNAcentral describes it as "partial 12S small subunit ribosomal RNA". It matches the Rfam family "Bacterial small subunit ribosomal RNA", at positions 188 to 944 of the family's 1533-position model. The record is from RNAcentral. Lineage: Eukaryota; Metazoa; Chordata; Actinopteri; Chaetodontiformes; Chaetodontidae.
CCGCGCCCCCGUGAGAAUGCCCUUCAAUCUCUGAAUGAGAUCAAGGAGCUGGUAUCAGGCACACUUAACUGUAGCCCACGACACCUUGCUUAGCCACACCCCCAAGGGAAUUCAGCAGUGAUAAAUAUUAAGCCAUAAGUGAAAACUUGACUUAGUUAAUGCUACUAAGGGUCGGUAAAAUUCGUGCCAGCCACCGCGGUUAUACGAGAGACUCGAGUUGAUAGUCAUCGGCGUAAAGAGUGGUUAAGAUAAAUAAAAACUAAAGCCAAAUACCUUCAAUGCUGUUAUACGUUCUCGAAGGUGAGAAGUCCAACUACGAAAGUGGCUUUAUUAGAUCUGACCCCACGAAAGCUAGGGCACAAACUGGGAUUAGAGACCCCACUAUGCCUAGCCCUAAACAUUGACAGUUAAUUACACCCACUGUCCGCCUGGGAACUACGAGCGCUAGCUUAAAACCCAAAGGACUUGGCGGUGCUUUAGACCCACCUAGAGGAGCCUGUUC